Oryza sativa Japonica Group (Japanese rice) is the source of this 637-nucleotide non-coding RNA. Lineage: Eukaryota; Viridiplantae; Streptophyta; Magnoliopsida; Poales; Poaceae. The record is from RefSeq and is a predicted model, not a curated record.
CAUCUCCGUUCCCUUCCCCUCACAGUUUGGGUGUCGCCGAAUCUCACUGGAAUUGGUUCGCCACCUUAGGGAGUUGCCGGGACUGGUUCGUCACCUCUGUGGCCUGACGAUCUGCUACCCACGCACUCUACUCCUCCCCAGGCAUCAGCAGACACAAUUUGGAAGCAAAGAAAAAAGGGAGUGCAGGCUAGAAUGCUAGAUUAUUCAGUACUAAUGUUUAAACAUCACCGCCCAGGCUCACUACAAUGGCCCACGAGAUGCCAUGGCCACAUGUGUGGCGGCGAUGGCAGCAUCCAGGCCCACAUCAAGGCCUGCGCCGCGCUGAGAGCCAUCUCCGUUGUCACCGCACAUAACACCAUUAGUUCAGGUCUUUUAGCUUCGUAUCUGGAGGAAGCUCAAUUAUUCUAUGAAUCAUAUUGUCACCAGUACAUUGGGUCAAUAUUGGGUCUAUAAGUCAAGUCAAGGCAGUGAUCACAAAUUAUGUUGUACAUCUAGCAACCAAAUAUUUAUUUGGCUCAAUUGAAGAUUUCAGUAUUUGUAAGAACUUUACUAGACCGCGAUUACUACAUUUUUAAAUUCAGUGCAGGCCCUAUGUAUAACAAGCUAACAUUUUUCUUAUGCUAUAGCCAUUUCUAUA